RNAcentral lists this ribosomal RNA (492 nucleotides) under uncultured bacterium. Its description in RNAcentral is "partial 16S ribosomal RNA". It matches the Rfam family "Bacterial small subunit ribosomal RNA", at positions 29 to 507 of the family's 1533-position model. The record is from RNAcentral.
AGUGAACGCUGGCGGUAGGCCUAACACAUGCAAGUCGAACGGCAGCACAGUAAGAGCUUGCUCUUACGGGUGGCGAGUGGCGGACGGGUGAGGAAUACAUCGGAAUCUACUUUUUCGUGGGGGAUAACGUAGGGAAACUUACGCUAAUACCGCAUACGACCUACGGGUGAAAGCAGGGGAUCUUCGGACCUUGCGCGAUUCAAUGAGCCGAUGUCGGAUUAGCUAGUUGGCGGGGUAAAGGCCCACCAAGGCGACGAUCCGUAGCUGGUCUGAGAGGAUGAUCAGCCACACUGGAACUGAGACACGGUCCAGACUCCUACGGGAGGCAGCAGUGGGGAAUAUUGGACAAUGGGCGCAAGCCUGAUCCAGCCAUACCGCGUGGGUGAAGAAGGCCUUCGGGUUGUAAAGCCCUUUUGUUGGGAAAGAAAAGCAGCAGGUUAAUACCCCGCUGUUCCGACGGUACCCAAAGAAUAAGCACCGGCUAACUUCGUG